AUAAAUAACUGUAUUUUAGAUAAUUUAAUAUCUAUUGAAUCUUGCAUUCCUGAUGAUUUUUUUGUUCCUCACAAUCAAGAUAUUUGCGAAGAUCUAGCACGAAAAAAUAUAGAUUUGGAUACUUAUAAAGAGAGCUGUGCGAUCAGUUGUGGAAAUCCUUGCUUUGAAAGAACAUAUGUUACAAGAUUAUUAAAAGAAGGAGAAUUAACG
Non-coding RNA from Parasteatoda tepidariorum (common house spider), 210 nucleotides. Lineage: Eukaryota; Metazoa; Arthropoda; Arachnida; Araneae; Theridiidae. The record is from RefSeq and is a predicted model, not a curated record.